ACUCCUGCGGGAGGCAGCAGUGGGGAAUUUUGGACAAUGGGCGAAAGCCUGAUCCAGCAAUGCCGCGUGAGUGAAGAAGGCCUUCGGGUUGUAAAGCUCUUUUGUCAGGGAAGAAACGGUGAGAGCUAAUAUCUCUUGCUAAUGACGGUACCUGAAGAAUAAGCACCGGCUAACUACGUGCCAGCAGCCGCGGUAAUACGUAGGGUGCAAGCGUUAAUCGGAAUUACUGGGCGUAAAGCGUGCGCAGGCGGUUUUGUAAGUCUGAUGUGAAAUCCCCGGGCUCAACCUGGGAAUUGCAUUGGAGACUGCAAGGCUAGAAUCUGGCAGAGGGGGGUAGAAUUCCACGUGUAGCAGUGAAAUGCGUAGAUAUGUGGAGGAACACCGAUGGCGAAGGCAGCCCCCUGGGUCAAGAUUGACGCUCAUGCACGAAAGCGUGGGGAGCAAACAGGAUUAGAAACCCCUGUAGUCCCAUGA
This 474-nucleotide ribosomal RNA is filed under the name uncultured organism. RNAcentral describes it as "partial 16S ribosomal RNA". It matches the Rfam family "Bacterial small subunit ribosomal RNA", at positions 335 to 800 of the family's 1533-position model. The record is from RNAcentral.